Molecule: long non-coding RNA, 256 nt
Organism: Brassica oleracea var. oleracea
Lineage: Eukaryota; Viridiplantae; Streptophyta; Magnoliopsida; Brassicales; Brassicaceae
Exons: 3
Source: RefSeq, a predicted model, not a curated record
UACUAUGAAAGAGCACUUACGCUAUCAACUAAAAGCUUAAGCACUUAUUCCGGCUUGGCGUACACUUACCAUUUGCAGGGGAAUUUCUCAGCUGCUAUCUCUCAUUAUCACAAGGCCUUGUGGUUGAAACCUGAUGAUCAAUUCUGUACCGAGAUGUUGAACGUGGCUCUCAUGGAUGAAUGCCAGAACGGGCUUGAUUCAACGGUUGAGCUCUGUUGAGAAUUUGGUCAGUUAAAUCAACCGCCUUAUUUUCUAG